GAUGAACGCUGGCGGCGUGCUUAACACAUGCAAGUCGAACGAUGAAGCCCAGCUUGCUGGGUGGAUUAGUGGCGAACGGGUGAGUAACACGUGAGUAACCUGCCCUUGACUCUGGGAUAAGCCUGGGAAACUGGGUCUAAUACUGGAUAUGACUUCUCAUCGCAUGGUGGGGGGUGGAAAGAUUUAUUGGUCUUGGAUGGACUCGCGGCCUAUCAGCUUGUUGGUGAGGUAAUGGCUCACCAAGGCGACGACGGGUAGCCGGCCUGAGAGGGUGACCGGCCACACUGGGAUUGAGACACGGCCCAGACUCCUACGGGAGGCAGCAGUGGGGAAUAUUGCACAAUGGGCGCAAGCCUGAUGCAGCGACGCCGCGUGAGGGAUGACGGCCUUCGGGUUGUAAACCUCUUUCAGUAGGGAAGAAGCGAGAGUGACGGUACCUGCAGAAGAAGCGCCGGCUAACUACGUG
RNAcentral lists this ribosomal RNA (466 nucleotides) under uncultured bacterium. Its description in RNAcentral is "partial 16S ribosomal RNA". It matches the Rfam family "Bacterial small subunit ribosomal RNA", at positions 28 to 507 of the family's 1533-position model. The record is from RNAcentral.